ACUCACAGUCCUCUAUUACAGGGGUGGGCAGCAACUCACAGUCCUCUAUUACAGGGGUGGGCGGCAACUCACAGUCCUCUAUUACAGGGGUGGGCGGCAACUCACAGUCCUCUAUUACAGGGGUGGGCAGCAACUCACAGUCCUCUAUUACAGGGGUGGGCAGCAACUCACAGUCCUCUAGUACAGGGGUGGGCAGCAACUCACAGUCCUCUAUUACAGGGGUGGGCAGUAACUCACAGUCCUCUAUUACAGGGGUGGGCAGUAACUCACAGUCCUCUAUUACAGGGGUGGGCAGUAACUCACAGUCCUCUAUUACAGGGGUGGGCAGAAACUCACAGUCCUCUAUUACACGGGUGGGCAGCAACUCACAGUCCUCUAGUACAGGGGUGGGCAGCAACUCACAGUCCUCUAUUACAGGGGUGGGCAGCAACUCACAGUCCUCUAUUACAGGGGUGGGCAGUAACUCACAGUCCUCUAUUACAGGGGUGGGCAGCAACUCACAGUCCUCUAUUACAGGGGUGGGCAGCAACUCACAGUCCUCUAUUACAGGGGUGGGCAGUAACUCACAGUCCUCUAUUACAGGGGUGGGCAGCAACUCACAGUCCUCUAUUACAGGGGUGGGCAGCAACUCACAGUCCUCU
RNAcentral lists this long non-coding RNA (641 nucleotides) under Salmo salar (Atlantic salmon). RNAcentral's name for it is "lncRNA (ENSSSAG00000088751.1)". Lineage: Eukaryota; Metazoa; Chordata; Actinopteri; Salmoniformes; Salmonidae. The record is from RNAcentral.